RNAcentral lists this transfer RNA (63 nucleotides) under Scorpiops jendeki. Its description in RNAcentral is "tRNA-Ser". The record is from RNAcentral. Lineage: Eukaryota; Metazoa; Arthropoda; Arachnida; Scorpiones; Euscorpiidae.
AGUUUAUUAGCUUAAGUAAAGUUUUUAUUUUGAAAAUAAAAGAUUAGGAAUUCCUAUUAACUA